AUUGAACGCUGGCGGCAUGCCUUACACAUGCAAGUCGAACGGUAACAGGUCUUCUGCUGCUGACGAGUGGCGCACGGGUGUGUAAUACAUCGGAACGUGCCCGAUCGUGGGGGAUAACGCGGCGAAAGCUUUGCUAAUACAGCACACGAUCUACGGAUGAGAACGGGGGAUAUUCUGGCAUCGCGCGGUCGGAGCGGCCGCUGGCAGAUUAGGUAGUUGGUGGGGUAAAAGCUUACCAAGACGACGAUCUGUAGCUGGUCUGAGAGGAUGAUCAGCCACACUGGGACUGAGACACGGCCCAGACUCCUACGGGAGGCAGCAGUGGGGAAUGUUGGACAAUGGGCGAAAGCCUGAUCCAGCCAUGCCGCGUGUAGGAUGAAGGCCUUCGGGUUGUAAACUGCUUUUGUACGGAACGAAAAGCCUCUUGCUAAUAAAGAGGGGUCAUGACGGUACCGUAAGAAUAAGCACCGGCUAACUACGUG
This 482-nucleotide ribosomal RNA is filed under the name uncultured bacterium. RNAcentral describes it as "partial 16S ribosomal RNA". It matches the Rfam family "Bacterial small subunit ribosomal RNA", at positions 30 to 507 of the family's 1533-position model. The record is from RNAcentral.